GAGAGCCGACCUACGGAGAAAUCCGUACGGGCGGUUCGGGAAGGAGAGGUUGGAAACGGCCUUCUGGGUAUCCUAAUAGAUUAAACGCGCCAACCUCUUACUUUCAC
This 107-nucleotide non-coding RNA is filed under the name Salinibacter ruber. Lineage: Bacteria; Pseudomonadati; Rhodothermota; Rhodothermia; Rhodothermales; Salinibacteraceae. The record is from RNAcentral.